CGUAGCGGGAGCUGUGAACGCGCGUAGCGGACGGGCGGGCAGCGCUGUGAAUGCGCGUAGCCAGCGGACAGGGAGCGCCAGUGUCAUUACUUAAUCGUCUUAUUUGUUAUGUGACUACCAAAAGGUAGUCUGACUGCUGGAAGAGACAUGGAACGCUUUUGCUUAUGUCUGCUGCUUUGGUGGAUAGCGUUUGCCCCAAAAAGCAAAGAGGAAAAGCAUACUCGCACUUCAAAGGUAAGCAGGGGAUAAAGGCAGGAUACUUCAGUUUUACGGUGAGGUGAGUUCUCCGUAAGGGAUGGGGAAAUAAGACUUGCCUCUGUGAGUUUGAUGCAUCAAGGUGGAAAUGUCUUCUGUCUUGAACCAAGAUAGUUCAUAUGUCUUGGGUACUCCAUACAAGUGUCUUCUCAUGCCCUGUUCAUUGUAUAUCAUUUUAUGUUGGGAACUCAUGUGACUCCUAGAAGGAAGGAUACUUAUCCAUUUAUUGAUCUGUGGUAUGUAAAAUUGAGUAGGACUACUCCAAUAAGUGGUGCAUCUCAGCCUGAUAUGAUUAGCAACAAAGUAAUUGUUAGAGCUUGUUAGAGUUUUUCCUUCUCUCAUGGAACAUGUAAUUGCUUUCUCAUUCAAAGGUAAUUGGAACACCUAAUAGCUUUCUUGUUCACAGCCUUCUUCAAUGUGCUUGGUACUCAUGCUCUUUUCUCCUCAGCCUGUUUUUCUGGAGACAUAGUUGUCUUCAUAAGUUUAAAAGAUGGAGCUUCUUUCAAAGUAGCUUCAUUCGCUCUAAACUUUCAAGCUGUGUUUGUGAGUGUGGUGUCAAAAAGAAAAUAUUCAACUGAGAUUUUCUCAAGGCUAAGUAGAGAGGAAUAAUUAUCUCAUCUGUCUAAAGAGCUUUUCUGAAUGCAUUCCAAAAUUAAGUCUGGGUGUGAGUAAGAUGGGUUGGCUUGCAGUGAUAAUGUGUUAGUGUUCCUAUUUAUUUUGUAGUCCACAGAAUUCCAGAGCUUGGUUUGAUGUCAUAUUUUAAGGGAGAAGAGAAGUACACAGUGCUGUUGAUCUUUUUCUCCUCCAGGCUGCCAUUUUGCU
Molecule: long non-coding RNA, 1077 nt
Organism: Cuculus canorus (common cuckoo)
Lineage: Eukaryota; Metazoa; Chordata; Aves; Cuculiformes; Cuculidae
Exons: 3
Source: RefSeq, a predicted model, not a curated record